RNAcentral lists this unclassified non-coding RNA (242 nucleotides) under Rhizophagus clarus. RNAcentral's name for it is "partial contains 5.8S ribosomal RNA and internal transcribed spacer 2". The stretch from base 1 to 71 matches the Rfam family "5.8S ribosomal RNA", at positions 84 to 154 of the family's 154-position model. Lineage: Eukaryota; Fungi; Glomeromycota; Glomeromycetes; Glomerales; Glomeraceae. The record is from RNAcentral.
GUGAAUCAUCAAAUUUUUGAACGCAAAUUGCACUCUCUGGCAUUCCGGAGAGUAUGCCUGUCUUGGGGUCAUGAUAAUCAAAAUCUGAUCAAUGCCUUUUUGGUGACGCACCGGAGUUUGGGUCUCUUUAACUCUUUUUUGAUGUGACCUAAAAUUAACAUUUUUUUUUGCUCAUUUUUGCGACGUUCAUAAUUUUUUUUUAUUCUUCUACCCUGGUGUCAUAUUUGUUAUUAGAUCGGGAA